GAUGAACGCUGGCGGCGUGCCUAAUACAUGCAAGUCGAGCGAACAGACGAGGAGCUUGCUCCUCUGACGUUAGCGGCGGACGGGUGAGUAACACGUGGAUACCCUACCUAUAAGACUGGGAUAACUUCGGGACACCGGAGCUAAUACCGGAUAAUAUAUUGCACCGCAUGGUUCAAUAGUGAAAGACGGUUUUGCUGUCACUUAUCGAUGGAUCCGCGCCGCAUUGGCUAGUUGGUAAGGUAACGGCUUACCAAGGCGACGAUGCGUAGCCGACCUGAGGGGCGGAUCGGCCACACUGGAACUGAGACACGGUCCAGACUCCUACGGUAGGCAGCAGUAGGGAAUCUUCCGCAAUGGUCGAAAGCCUGACGGAGCAACGCCGCGUGAGUGAUGAAGGUCUUCGGAUCGUAAAACUCUGUUAUGAGGGAAGAACAAAUGUGUAAGUAACUAUGCACGUCGUGACGGUACCGAAUCAGAAAGCCACGGCUAACUACGUG
Molecule: ribosomal RNA, 497 nt
Filed under: uncultured bacterium
Lineage: Bacteria
Description: partial 16S ribosomal RNA
Rfam family: Bacterial small subunit ribosomal RNA
Source: RNAcentral